RNAcentral lists this ribosomal RNA (468 nucleotides) under uncultured bacterium. RNAcentral describes it as "partial 16S ribosomal RNA". It matches the Rfam family "Bacterial small subunit ribosomal RNA", at positions 28 to 507 of the family's 1533-position model. The record is from RNAcentral.
GACGAACGCUGGCGGCGUGCUUAACACAUGCAAGUCGAACGGAAAGGCCCUGCUUUUGUGGGGUGCUCGAGUGGCGAACGUGUGAGUAACACGUGAGUAACCUUCCCUUGACUUUGUGAUAACUUCAGGAAACUGGGGCUAAUACCUGCUAGGAGCUCCUGCUGCAUGGUGGGGUUUGGAAAGUUUCGGCGGUUGGGGAUGGACUCGCGGCUUAUCAGCUUGUUGGUGGGGUAGUUGCUGACCAAGGCUUUGAAGGGUAGCCGGCCUGAGAGGGUGAACGGGCACAUGGGGACUGAGAGAGGGCCCAGAGGCCAACGGGAGGCAGCAGUGGGGAAUAUUGCACAAUGGGCGGAAGCCUGAGGAAGAAACGCCGCGAGCGGGAUGAAGGCCUUGGGGUUGUAAACCGCUUUAGCCUGUGACGAAGCGUGAGUGACGGUAAUGGGUAAAGAAGCACCGGCUAACUACGUG